This 497-nucleotide ribosomal RNA is filed under the name uncultured bacterium. RNAcentral describes it as "partial 16S ribosomal RNA". It matches the Rfam family "Bacterial small subunit ribosomal RNA", at positions 28 to 507 of the family's 1533-position model. The record is from RNAcentral.
GAUGAACGCUGGCGGCGUGCCUAAUACAUGCAAGUCGAGCGAACGGACGAGAAGCUUGCUUCUCUGAUGUUAGCGGCGGACGGGUGAGUAACACGUGGAUAACCUACCUAUAAGACUGGGAUAACUUCGGGAAACCGGAGCUAAUACCGGAUAAUAUUUUGAACCGCAUGGUUCAAAAGUGAAAGACGGUCUUGCUGUCACUUAUAGAUGGAUCCGCGCUGCAUUAGCUAGUUGGUAAGGUAACGGCUUACCAAGGCAACGAUGCAUAGCCGACCUGAGAGGUUGAUCGGCCACACUGGACCUGAGACACGGUCCAGACUCCUACGGGAGGCAGCAGUAGGGAAUCUUCCGCAAUGGGCGAAAGCCUGACGGAGCAACGCCGCGUGAGUGAUGAAGGUCUUCGGAUCGUAAAACUCUGUUAUUAGGGAAGAACAUAUGUGUAAGUAACUGUGCACAUCUUGACGGUACCUAAUCAGAAAGCCACGGCUAACUACGUG